CCCUUAGAUGUUCUGGGCUGCACGCGCGCUACACUGAUAAAGGCAGAAAGUAUUUAGUGCGCCGAAUGGGGCAUGGAUGAGGGAUUUAUUUUUCUUGUUUUUGUCUGUUUGGGUACGAUUUUUCCUUGACCGGAAGGUUUGGGUAAUCUUUUAAACUUUAUCGUGCUGGGGAUCGAUUAUUGCAAUUAUUAAUCUUGAACGAGGAAUUCCUAGUAAGUGCAAUUCAUCAGAUUGUACUGAUUACGUCCCUGCCCUUUGUACACACCGCCCGUCGCUACUACCGAUUGAAUGGCUUAGUGAGGUUCCCGGACCGAAGUGGUUUUUUAUUAGGGCUGUAAGGUUCUAUUCCAUUUUGGGAAGCGAAACAAACUUGGUCAUUUAGAGGAAGUAAAANUCGUANCA
This 402-nucleotide ribosomal RNA is filed under the name uncultured eukaryote. RNAcentral's name for it is "partial 18S ribosomal RNA". It matches the Rfam family "Eukaryotic small subunit ribosomal RNA", at positions 1470 to 1796 of the family's 1831-position model. The record is from RNAcentral.